UGUGUGGAGCAUUGGUUGGGUUCCUCACUGUGGCUGCAUGGACAGAACCCAGUUUUAUCUCUCCAGUAAGUUCCUGUCUCCCAAAGUGCCGCUAUCCUCUGUCUUUCCUCCUCAGUGAGCCGAGUGCUAUGUCCAUGUCCAUUAGCAUCGUUAGGACCAGAUUUGGACUGCAAUAAAAAAGGGCUGUUUUCUGGUUUGAUCGGAUGUAAAUCCACAGCCUCUGUUCUAGCAGUACGGUGUAUGCUGGUACUGCUACGCAGUUCAAGCAUUGCUGUAGGAAACUUGCAGGGUAAAUAAUAUCAAAGACUAGUCUCAUUUUCCCCCAAGAACCCAGUUAUGGUGAAUACCAAGAUUAAAGGUAUAACUGGCUCCAUAUUUUUAAUUAUUUCCCCCAUCUGGACAUAUCACCAUGGAUGCUUGUCAGACGAUUGGCAAGCAGUACCUGACCCUCUGCCUUAGCUUGCAGUGGCCAGGAGUGAAGUGUCUUCUAUCAAAGAGUGGUGAUGCUCUGAGCUUGUGUGGCUGAAGGAAAGUAAUUAAUGUUCAUGAUGGAAAUACCUUGUGGUUUUGUGUUUUUCUCUGACCUCUUGGUCAGGUCAGCCCCCGUAUGUUUUAUUUCAGAUGGCCAUCAUUAUUUGAAUUCAUGGUGGCAAGAGGGUUAUGUGGCUUGGAAUUGGUAUUCAACAGUGACAGAGUGAAGCACAUGAGCAGCAGCACCCCUUUCAUUCCCUCUGGAGAAGGCUGCUCUCAAGCAAUGCCAAGAAGCUACCUACUCCAUGUAGCGUGUGGCUUUGCUAAUAUCUCUGUGCCUAGUGCCUGGGCACAAAGCCCCUGCUCCACUGCCAUUCCUCCUCUUGACGGGAAGGGUUAGCUUUCUUCAGACAUCAGCUGGAUCUAAUUUGAGGCUUAGCUUUUUCAUCUCUGGCACUCAUCAAUAGAAAAACUUAAGGCAAUCUGCCUUAAGUUAUCAAAACUCGAAAAUGACUCUUUACCUAAAUUUUUGAGGAAAAAAUGUCUAAGCCUGAAAGAGAGAGACUCGGUGCCAUCAUAUGUUGCAACUGACCACCAGAACAGGAAUGACUUGUAGACAGGAGAUCAGCCUCGGUGUGAAUCUUGCUUCAGGCAGAGUCCCAUCCGUCUAGGAAGAUGUCUAAAGGCUCUAGGUCUUGCUCAUGUUAUGUCUCAAAUCCCCACCACACACUGAACCAGUUCAGUAGAUGAGUGGUAGGGAGCACUUUUCCAGUAUGUGAGCUCCUUAUUAAUCUGUCUGCAGAAGUAACUCAGUACUCCGAGUGUCUACCUAUGCUACCUUGCAGGGCAGCCAAGGGGAAGGUUAGAGAAGACGGGCAGCACAGGUCCCUCCGCUUCCUCCUUCCCUGCCUCAGGCUGCCGGCGCCUGCAGAAGCAAAGCAAGAGACACUUGCGAUGAGCAGCAGUUGGGAGCGGCUGCACUCUGUGGUGAUCGCAGCGACGCUCUGCAGAGCCUUGGGGGGUGCCUGGGAAUGAGCGGCAUUUCAGGGGUGGGCUCUGGACUCCCAGGUGGUGCUUCUCCAAGCACAGUGUCCCUGUACACUGUGCUGGCCCAGGAGCUCAGCUGGGGCACUCCUCAUGCUGAGAUGAGGGCUGACUGGGAUGUAUUGAAGAGGUAACGCCUCCUGGCAAUGCUCGGGCUUUCUAAAAAUCUGCUAUAUUUCUGAGUUUUGGAGGCUGGAAAAACUGAAGCCAUGUUUUAUUUCUUACUGACAUUUUUCGAAAUGCCAAAGUUUUUCACUUUGUCAUCUCUUACUUAGAAAACUUAUUUCUGAGAAACUUUUUAAAACUUUCUCUUAUUCUGUCCACCCAUGACUAUCUAUUGGAUUUUCUCCCAGAAUGGAAACUCUGUAUUCUGAGUAGUUACCAGCACAGUAGGUCUCCUGAAUUUAAAAGUAUCCUUUUACUUUUUUUUUAGAGUAUGUAAAUAAGCAUGAACAGAUGCUCUGACCUUCCCUGUUUAAAACCAGAUUAUGGGGUUUCUGUGCAAGAAUCAGUUAAGUGGGUGCAACCCUGUCUCACCUCUGAGAAGAGCUUUUCUUUUUCCUGCCAGAGCAUCCCUCUUCCAGGCAGAUGGGGCACAGGGUCAUCUAAAAUCCCAGUCUUAUCAGUGCCUUUGACUUAAUUGUGCGGGUGAGUCUGUUUCAGAUUUAUCAUCUUCACCUCAGAGGAGUAAGGUGUGCAGAGCAUAAGGAAAGACCAUCAUCCCGAUGGUCCUAAUGUACAGUUUCUUCUCUACCCCUCUAUCUACCCUGUACCUAAUCAAUCUGCUGAUCUUAUACUUCUCACUUCUGGGCCACUUAAGCAGUACUGCUAUUGUUACUAGCCUGAAAUUAUGAUUUCUUUUGGCAUAUCAUUCUUGAUAUGAAAAUGUCCUCUAAUUAGCUCCUUGGCUGCAAGAACAAACUGGUGAGUUUUAUUUUCUUGGUACAAACUACCAAUUUUCACAUCAGGCUGCUGACGACUAGUCUUCGGAAGGGUGGUGUUCCUACCCUCUCCCUAAAAUGUGCUCAGGCUCCAUUCCCACAGUUACUCUGCAAGGGUAUGUUCAGGCUGCCCAGCUGCUGGCGAAGUGGAACUAGGAAGAGCCCUGAGGGAACUGGUAGUAUCUGAUGGAGCUGGAAGGAAAGCAGAAGGAGAUGCUAAAAGGAUUGAAGACUCCAGACUUGGGAGUCUUGGCUUGUUGCUCGACUCUUGUUUAUAUUAUGUAUUAUAUUAUAAGCAUAUAUAUAGGUAUCCAUACGCAAGUGCUUAUAACUGCAUAACCUUGCAGUGCUUUUGUUUUUGUCCAUAAACGAAGUGGACAUGCUUUUGAAUUCUGAGCAGAAAAAACCCUGUUCCUUGUUCAUCUGUGCAAAGGGCCAGAGUGUUGAGAGAAGCUACUAAGCAGAAGUGAAAGCAGAGACGGGCAAGUGCACACCCAAGAAGAACUGCUGUUUCCAUCCUGUUCUGGGGAGGAAACCGCUGGCACUGGACGUAGCUGAGACGGUGGCGAUGGGAAUCAGCAGCUCUGUUCCUGCCCCUCCCUUACGUGGCUGGGAAUUCACAUUAUGGCCAAAGCAGGUCUGGGGGCACAGUCCUUUUGGUCUCAACUUAUCUCCCAUAUGCUCUACCACUUUUGACCUUUGAUCGGAGGUGCAUAGAGAGGGACUCGCCAGCAUGCUGUCAGCCUAUGCACUGAGCACAGUACAAGCAUCACCCUUAGCUUAUGCAGGCAGAGGAGCAGGGGGUACAGCAGUGAUAUCUGCAGACAAGGGUUCUCCAGUGCUGUUCUCACUGUGAGCAUGCCGUCCUGCAUUCAAGCUGGUUUCUGAGCUCUGGCUAGCACAGGAGCGUCAUCUGUUUAUCUCCUGUAUGCAGAGCAUGGUGUCCACAGUCAUAUCUUGCCCCACAAACAGCCUGGGCACAAAAGUGAGGCCUCCGCUGCUCUGCAGGCAUCUGGUGGGGACAGGGGUUUUCUUGCCUUGGGAUUCUGGUCGUUUGGGUUGUUAUUUGGAAGUGGGUAUUUGCUAGGGAGGCUGCGUCUGAAUGAGGCUGUCCAAAUGGCAGCAGUAAGAUCAUCUGGCUGCAGGCUCUUGCAAUGGCUUUUGGCUUCUGCCACUGUAGUUUCAAAAUAUGUGUGUCUUUCUGGGAGGGAACUUAGUGGCUCAAGCAGGAGUCAAUCCUUUGUGCUUACUUUGGCUUCUUUCUCUGCUGAGCAGUCUCCAGGUUCCUGUAACGUGCCAGCCAGUAUCAGGCUCUAUUUAUCCCCUUUCAGUGCGUAUUUGUGACAAUUUUGCUUGCUACAGCCAUGGUCACUUAAGCUGAAUAGCAUUUUCAGGCUGAAAAGGCCAGUAGCGGGGUGGUUAUCAGAUAGAGGAAAAGCAUCGUAUUUGCUCUGGCCUUUGGUUCCCAGAUAAUAUAACGGCGAAUUGUGUUCCUGGAAGCUGGGAGGUGGCUUGCAAGAUUACACGGCCCCAAAACGCAUGGAGGCAGUUUGUCACGUGUGACAGAGGAGCAGAGGGGGAGGUGGAAGUGGGGAGCGUAGCUGCUCUCGGUGCUCAGCGGAGGUCAGAUGCGGCUGAUGGCUUCUUCCCAUUGGGAAUGCUGAAGCAGCAGCAGCAAUUGUGCCCUGGCUGCUCUCUUAAAAGCGCUUUGGUGGGUUAGGAGCAUAAGUUCAUUUAAAAGUCGCUGCUACUUGCGGAGCAGUAAGAGAUUGUGCCUGUCUCCCAGUAACCAUUUCCUUCUCUUUUCCCCUCAUCAUCCCUCUAAGUGUGUGGCUUUGAAUGUCUCCUCCUUUUAGGUUUGAAUUGCCUCUCGAGGUGGCUGGGUGCUCUGGAGGAGAGAAAUCUAAUUAACACUCGUUCCCUGCUCAGCUGGACAUAGACAUGAAGCAAGACCAGACCUGGGAGUAGGUCGUGUGGUUCCUACUAGAGCACGCAGGGCCAGAGCUCCUGUGUGCUGGCUGUGCAGGAUGUGGUGGGCUGGGGCCAGUUCUUGUGCACGUCUGACCCAGAAAAUGUUGAAGUACCUCAUUAUCUCCAGAGGAAGCUCGUUCCAGGCUUGCUUUGUUUGGCCUAUGAGCACUUCCCCAGGAACACAGCUUCAGCUGCUGGUAGAAGACUGGGACCAAGCUGAAGACAGAAAUCUUGGCAAAUGUUGUAAGGUAAAGAGAAAGAUAAGCAAAAUGCAACAUAAAUUUCAAGAGAUGAGUCAAUAGCCUUUAGGAUCAGGAUUUUCCAGCCUUCGUCCUGGCUGAGGUGGGAGGUACACUGACAGAGAGCCCCCUGGUUCAACACUCUUGAUCUUCUCCAAAACGGGCGUUGGGAAGAAGUGGCUAAGCCCGCCGUGGCCCACUCGUGCCCCGUGCAGCAGCGCUGUGCUGCUCUGCACCAGCAAAGGCAGCUUGGCAGCCUGCCUGGACCUGGAAGCUGCUUCAGGACCUGCUCGGGGAGGCAUCGCUCCAGCACAGGCUGUCCCAAGAAACGGCGGGUCAUGGCCCGGCCGCCUGGGAUUGGGCUGGGAGGAGCGCGGCUGCUCCGGCUGGCACCGUCUUCAGCCCUGUGCUCUGGGUGGUUACUAAAUAGGCAGCCUCUCAUUUCGUACCUCUGGCAGGGGAGACCACCUGCAAAAUAACCCCUUUGUGCCAUCCUGGGGGGUGGCAUGAGAGCGAUGCACGGGGGACGGGCGCCAGCAUCAGCGCUGCCACGUGCCAGCACUCGCGGCGUUGGGAGGAAGAUAGGCUGCAGCCACCCAGUGAGGUUCAGCUCGCACAACUCCAGGUGGCACACGCUGCUGCAAAAGCCCUUCCCUGGUGUUCUCCUUACUCAUAUAAAUAAAAUAUUCUCCUUAUUCAUAUAAAUAAAAUAUAUGUAUGUGUAUCUAUCCAAAUCUUUUUAAAUGGCAUUAUCUCAGUAGAUCUCAGGAUGAAAUUGUUGUUCUGCUACUACAGUGUGCACGUUAUCUAGGCUUGUUCCUUUUUUUUUUUUUUUUUUUUUAAAGAUUCACAUUCUUCCAUCUCUCUUAUUUGUUUCUUGCAAAUCUGUUUCCUAAGGUUUUGUUUCCAACCGUCCCUGUUCUUCCACUUGGCUUAGGUAUGGUUACAGACUCAAAAUCUUAGACAUCAAGAUUUCAUCCUUUGCGUUUUUCCCUUUAGAUUUUCAUUACUUCUGACAGGCUGAUUAAAAACCCUCCCAGUUUCUUUGCCUUCUGCAGUUUCAAAAAUGUGUAUUGAAAAUGUCUUUUUCUGUAGUCUUAACUGAUCCUUUGUAAUAUUUGUUGGUUCUCUUCCUAUCUUCAGUAAAAAGAUUUUUUUUUUUUUUUUUUUUUUAAUCUCUCAAGUAACAUCUCCCAAAACCAUAUGGACUUUUUCUUGUUUCACCCCAGAAGAUGUGUAAAGUGAUUUUUUUACUUUAAAUAUGCUUCGCUCAGGAUUUUCCAGCUUGCUUUUGCACUUGUAGAUUUAAUAUUUCCCCUUGCUGCUUAUGUUUACACCGAACAUUUGUUUUCAUUUUCAACUUAUUGUUGUGUUCAGCGCAGUCUUAUCUUGCUGGGCGGAAGUCACAUAGCUUGUAAUCGAUUACAGAGUUUCCUAUCAUAGUCUAUUAGUUCCUGCCAAUUAGCUUGUCUUCUUGUUGAUAAGAUUAUUGCCUUCGGUGCGUGUAGUGAUCGUGGUUAUCCAGGAAUAUUUGAGCAGCAAUUCUGAUGUACACAAUAGUUUUGAGAAUCUCUAGAAAUGUUUCCUUAUUAAAUCUCCUCUCUCCUUACCCCAGUCUGUUGCACAAGGCAAGGUAUUAUUUGGCUUUGCUGUUGUGUUUUAAUCCCUAUAUCCUUACCCUAACUAUUUAACAACUACACUAUUCAGAGUGAGAUGGUUUCCAUGCAGGGAUAUUCUCUGCUUCUCACCGUCUUGUGUAAUUCCUCCUCUGGAACAUCAUCCCUGGUUUCCAGCAAUCACUGAUUUGAGGACUGGAGCUGACUGUUUUAUUUGGACAAUCCUGUUUAAUCGCUGCUGUUGAGGAGCAGCUGUUUGUGAAUUUGCCUAGUUCCUUUCCAAACGAUAUUCUGUGGCAAUGGCCAUGGGUACCACAUUUCAUUAAUUAUGCACAGUGAGAGGAAAAAGUAUUUCCUUUUGUUCUAAGUCUGAAUAGUUCAUCAGAUACCAUUAGCUGUUGCACUAUAAGAUGUUGUGAAUGAUAUAUUCAUCUUCUCUGUCUUUUCCUUGUUUCCUAGACCUCUGUUGUCAACCUCUUUUUAUCCGAGGCAUCUCUUCCCAAGAAGAUGAGUUGUCGUGUAUUUGAUCACUCCUUGGUUGAGUCUGUUCUUUACCUCUGCCUGUCUCUCUUCCCUUUCCCUGUUUCUCCUAUAAGACGUCCGGUGGUGUGUGGGUAUACCAUAGAUUAAUGUGGUGACACCGCAGUGGUUGCUGCUUCGUUCCUGUUGUUUUCAUAAUACCUUCUCAAACUGCCUGUAUGUAGCUCAGCUUUUGCUGUUGAUUUGCAGGCCUGAUACAAGGACACUGAACCCAAAAGCGUGAUUUUUUUUUUUUUUUUGUUGUUCUCUCUUGCCCCAGAUAUUCAUCAACAGAUGUAAUAAAAAUACUUUAAAACUU
Molecule: long non-coding RNA, 7120 nt
Organism: Aquila chrysaetos chrysaetos
Lineage: Eukaryota; Metazoa; Chordata; Aves; Accipitriformes; Accipitridae
Exons: 2
Source: RefSeq, a predicted model, not a curated record